This 922-nucleotide ribosomal RNA is filed under the name Neocatenulostroma microsporum. Its description in RNAcentral is "LSU rRNA". It matches the Rfam family "Eukaryotic large subunit ribosomal RNA", at positions 23 to 977 of the family's 3401-position model. Lineage: Eukaryota; Fungi; Ascomycota; Dothideomycetes; Mycosphaerellales; Teratosphaeriaceae. The record is from RNAcentral.
ACCCGCUGAACUUAAGCAUAUCAAUAAGCGGAGGAAAAGAAACCAACAGGGAUUGCCCUAGUAACGGCGAGUGAAGCGGCAACAGCUCAAAUUUGAAAUCUGGCGCAAGCCCGAGUUGUAAUUUGUAGAGGAUGCUUCUGGGCAGCGGCCGGUCUAAGUUCCUUGGAACAGGACGUCACAGAGGGUGAGAAUCCCGUAUGUGAUCGGUUGGCACCCGCUACGUAGCUCCUUCGACGAGUCGAGUUGUUUGGGGAUGCAGCUCUAAAUGGGAGGUAAAUGCCUUCUAAAGCUAAAUACCGGCCAGAGACCGAUAGCGCACAAGUAGAGUGAUCGAAAGAUGAAAAGCACUUUGGAAAGAGAGUUAAAAAGCACGUGAAAUUGUUGAAAGGGAAGCGCAUGCAACCAGACUUGUCCGCGGUGUUCCGCCGGUCUUCUGACCGGUCUACUCGCCGCGGGCAGGCCAGCAUCAUCUGGGAGCGCCGGAUAAAGGUAGCGGGAAUGUGGCCCCUCGGGGUGUUAUAGCUCGCUACACAAUACGGCGCCUCCCGGGUGAGGUCCGCGCUUCGGCUAGGAUGCUGGCGUAAUGGUUGUAUGCGGCCCGUCUUGAAACACGGACCAAGGAGUCUACCAUCUAUGCGAGUGUUCGGGUGUCAAACCCCUACGCGCAAUGAAAGUGAACGGAGGUGGGAACCGCAAGGUGCACCAUCGACCGAUCCUGAUGUCUUCGGAUGGAUUUGAGUAAGAGCAUAGCUGGUGGGACCCGAAAGAUGGUGAACUAUGCCUGAAUAGGGUGAAGCCAGAGGAAACUCUGGUGGAGGCUCGCAGCGGUUCUGACGUGCAAAUCGAUCGUCAAAUUUGGGUAUAGGGGCGAAAGACUAAUCGAACCAUCUAGUAGCUGGUUCCUGCCGAAGUUUCCCUCAGG